Molecule: ribosomal RNA, 513 nt
Filed under: uncultured bacterium
Lineage: Bacteria
Description: partial 16S ribosomal RNA
Rfam family: Bacterial small subunit ribosomal RNA
Source: RNAcentral
GACGAACGCUGGCGGCGUGCCUAAUACAUGCAAGUAGAACGCUGACUACUUUAGCUUGCUAGAGUAGAAGGAGUUGCGAACGGGUGAGUAACGCGUAGGUAACCUGCCUACUAGCGGGGGAUAACUAUUGGAAACGAUAGCUAAUACCGAAUAACAGUGUUUAACACAUGUUAGAUGCUUGAAAGAUACAAUUGCAUCACUAGUAGAUGGACCUGCGUUGGAUUAGCUAGUUGGUGGGGUAACGGCCCACCAAGGCGACGAUACAUAGCCGACCUGAGAGGGUGUUCGGCCACACUGGGACUGAGACACGGCCCAGACUCCUACGGGAGGCAGCAGUAGGGAAUCUUCGGCAAUGGGGGCAACCCUGACCGAGCAACGCCGCGUGAGUGAAGAAGGUUUUCGGAUCGUAAAGCUCUGUUGUAAGAGAAGAACGUGUGUGAGAGUGGAGAGUUCACACAGUGACGGUAACUUACCAGAAAGGGACGGCUAACUACGUGCCAGCCGCCGCCGUAA